Molecule: long non-coding RNA, 211 nt
Filed under: Gallus gallus (chicken)
Lineage: Eukaryota; Metazoa; Chordata; Aves; Galliformes; Phasianidae
Source: RNAcentral
UUGUGAGCAAACAGUGCGACUGUAUGAGGUGUCUGUCCGGCUGGCAUAUCUUCAGGGGAUUCCUGCAGUUUGAUCAGCUGUUUGUCAGAAAACAUGGACCUGUUGUGAAUCAGAGCCAUACUGUGCGUUGUGUUACAGUUCUUGCACACUGAUGGUUCAGCAAUCCUGCCACGGUCAAUUUCUACUCUUGUGGUGAAUGCGCAGACCUGGC